AGCGCAGGCGGCUGUGCAAGUUGGGCGUUUAAUCUACGGGCUUAACCCGUAUCAGCGUUCAAAACUGUACAGCUUGAGUGAAGUAGAGGUAGGCGGAAUUUCCGGUGUAGCGGUGGAAUGCGUAGAUAUCGGAAGGAACACCAGUGGCGAAGGCGGCCUACUGGGCUUUAACUGACGCUGAGGCUCGAAAGCAUGGGUAGCAAACA
This 206-nucleotide ribosomal RNA is filed under the name uncultured Eubacteriales bacterium. Its description in RNAcentral is "uncultured Clostridiales bacterium partial 16S ribosomal RNA". It matches the Rfam family "Bacterial small subunit ribosomal RNA", at positions 568 to 774 of the family's 1533-position model. Lineage: Bacteria; Bacillati; Bacillota; Clostridia; Eubacteriales. The record is from RNAcentral.